ACCUCGGAUCAGGUAGGGAUACCCGCUGAACUUAAGCAUAUCAAUAAGCGGAGGAAAAGAAACCAACAGGGAUUGCCUCAGUAACGGCGAGUGAAGCGGCAACAGCUCAAAUUUGAAAUCUGGCCUCUUUGGGGUCCGAGUUGUAAUUUGUAGAGGAUGUUUCGGGUACCGCCUCGGUUUAAAUUUCUUGGAACAGAAUGUCAAAGAGGGUGAGAAUCCCGUCUUGGACCGGCGGUAGGGCCCAUGUGAAACUCCUUCGACGAGUCGAGUUGUUUGGGAAUGCAGCUCAAAAUGGGUGGUAAAUUUCAUCUAAAGCUAAAUAUUGGCCAGAGACCGAUAGCGCACAAGUAGAGUGAUCGAAAGAUGAAAAGCACUUUGAAAAGAGAGUUAAACAGUAUGUGAAAUUGUUGAAAGGGAAGCGCUUACAACCAGACUUGCGCGCGGCGGUUCCCCCUUCCUUUUGGUUGGGCUACUCCGUCGUGUCCAGGCCAACAUCGGUUCUGGGGGUCGGUUAAAGACCCUGGGAAUGUAUCUACCCUUCGGGCGUAGACUUAUAGCUCAGGGUGUCAUGCGACCUCCCGGA
This 583-nucleotide ribosomal RNA is filed under the name Exophiala sp. C_1_BESC_80a. Its description in RNAcentral is "eukaryotic LSU rRNA". It matches the Rfam family "Eukaryotic large subunit ribosomal RNA", at positions 1 to 590 of the family's 3401-position model. The record is from RNAcentral. Lineage: Eukaryota; Fungi; Ascomycota; Eurotiomycetes; Chaetothyriales; Herpotrichiellaceae.